AACGAACGCUGGCGGCAUGCCUAAUACAUGCAAGUCGAACGAAACCACCGGGACUUGUGGCCCCCGGGUGCGUAACGCGUGGGAACCUUCCCUCAUGUUUGGCCUACCUCCCCGACAGGGGUGCUAUUGCCGGACAAUGUCUUCUGACCAAAGAUAUAUUGCAUUAGGAUGGGCACGCGUUGGAUUAGCUAGUGGGUAGGGUAAAAGCCUACCAAGGCGACGAUCCAUAGCUGGUCUGAGAGGAUGAUCAGCCACACUGGGACUGAGACACGGCCCAGACUCCUACGGGAGGCAGCAGUGGGGAAUAGUGGACAAUGGGGGAAAGGAUGAUGCAGCAAUGCCGCGUGAGUGAUGAAGGCCUUAGGGUAGUAAAGCUCUUUUACCCGGGAUGAUAAUGACAGUACCGGGAGAAUAAGCUCCGGCUAACUCCGUG
Molecule: ribosomal RNA, 433 nt
Filed under: uncultured bacterium
Lineage: Bacteria
Description: partial 16S ribosomal RNA
Rfam family: Bacterial small subunit ribosomal RNA
Source: RNAcentral